CAAGAUAUCACUGGAACGAGUUCAGUUAAUCAGGGUUAUAGUUCAUUGUGGUUUUACUAUAAAAUAUUAUAAAGCAAAAGAAACACCAACUACCUACCUAAGCGAUGAAAUCCAAAGGUGAAUCUUUUGGUUGGUGAUUUUGAUGAUAGCCACAAAGCAAGCAGGGUAAUGCUGAUGCUUCAAGUCUUGGAACCACACUUCGAGAAUCACUGUUAUAAUGUACAGCAGAACUGCAUGAUCAGCUGUAUGGUAGCCUUGAAAACCAACAGGCCACAAUCACAGUGAAAACCUCAGGUUGGCAGCCACUGGAGGAUACAAAAUGAGUUUGGAUCUCCUUCAAUGCCCCAUUCCCAGAGAACUGUCAUUAUUUGACCUGCUGGUAGUUCCCUAAAGGACGUGCAAGGAUGUUUUUAUUUGACUGGACACUUGAAGCUUGCCCUGUAUGAACAGCCCCCAUCUUCCCAUGCUUGUCAAAAAUCAGAGGCAACUAACACUGCGGCUUCCUGAGAGUCUCACUCUGUCACCCAGGCUGGAGAGCAAUUGCACAAACACUUGGCUCACUGCAGCCUCAACUUCUUGUCCUCAAGUGAUCCUCCCACCUUAGCCUCCUAAGUAGCUGGGACCACAGAGAGUCUCACUCUGUCACCUGGGGUGGAGUACAGCAGCCGGAUCUCAGCUCACUGCAACCUCCACCCCCUGGGCUCAACCGAUCCUGCCACUUCAGCCUCCAGAGGAGCUAGGACCACAGACACGCACUACCAAGUCAGGCUAAGUUUUUGGUUUUUUUUGGUAGAGAGGGGGUUUCAUCAUGUUGCCAGGCUGGUCUUGAACUCCUGAGCUCAAGCGAUCCUCAGGCUCCCAACGUGCUGGGAUUAUAGGCAUGAGCCACUGCACCCAGCCAAAUUGCUUCAUUUUUUAUUACUCCAUACUUCCUACAUAAGAUACUUCCUACACCUGGCCAAAUUGCUUCAUUUUUUAAAAAUAUAUUUUAUUUAAUGUAGUCUCACUCUGUUGCCCUGGCUGGAGUGCAGUGGCAUGAUCUCAGCUCACUGCAACCUCUGCCUCCUGGGUUAAAGCGAUUUCUGGCUAAUUUUUGUAUUUUUAGUAGAGAUGGGGUUUCACCAUGUUGGCCAGGCUGCUCUCAAACUCCUGACCUCAAGUGAUCCACCCGCCUUGGCCUCCCAGAAGUGCUAGGAUUACAGGUGUGAGCCACCGUGCCUGGCCAAAUUGCUUCAUUUUUUAUUUCUCCAUACUUCCUACAUAAGAUGCUUUAUUUCUCUUUCUUUCUUUCUUUUUUUGAGACAGAGUCCCACUCUGUCACCCAGGCUGGAGUGCAGUGGUGCAAUCUUGGCUCACUGCAACCUCCACCUCCCAGGUUCAAGCGAUUCUCGUGUCUCAGCCUCCCCAGUAGCUGGGACUACAGGUGCGCCAUGACGCCUGGCUAAUUUUUUUGUAUUUUCAGUAGAGACGGGGUUUCACCAUGUUGGCCAGUCUGCUUUCCUCCUAACCUCAAGUGAGCCGCCUGCCUCGAAGAUGCUUUAUUUAUAAGCGCUUUGGACACACUUUAAUAAAUGCUCUAUUGUAUACAGUUGAACUCUAUAUAACAUUUUGAAUAAUAUUGUUAAUGCUUACCCUAAGUACUACUAUCAUCUCUGUAUUGUUUAACAAAAUAUUUCCACAUUUGACAAUAAAGUCAGUAUUUGAAAGGAAAUACUUAUUGUGGCUUUCAUAAAACAACAUUUACCAAAUAACAGAUUUCAGAAGUGAGAAGUCAAGACAAUUAUAUCUUAAUGAUUUUUACUUAGGUGAAAUAAACUCUGAAUUAUUAAUCAUUUUAAGGGGGGAUGCUGUGAUUGUUAUUUUAACUUCAAAUAUUCAACGUUAACUUCAAAAAUCAUUAAACCUGAAUGACUCAAUAUUCUAGUUGUGUUAGUUUGGGCAAGUCACCGAAUCUCAGUCUGCUGAGACCAUGGUGCUUUAUCUGGGGCACAGGUUGUCUCCUGUCUUUUAAUUUCUUUACAGCUCAAGCAUUUAUAAUUAUCUAACAGAAUAAAAAUGAAUUAAUUCAACAAGUUUAUUGAGUAUCUACUUUGUGCCAGUCACUGUUCUAGGUGCUAGGAAUUCAGCCUGUAUUUCAGUGGAAACAGGUAAUAUUAAAUGAGUAAAUAAAUAAGAUAUCUCAGAUGCUGAGGACUUUGAAAGUUGGAGAGGGAACAGGGAACAAAAGAGAUUUACUUUAGUCAGUCAGAAAAGGUCUCUCAAAAGUGUGGGUUUUUUUAAUUUUUAUUACUUAUUUAUUUAUUUAUUAUUUUAUUUACUUAUUUUUUUUUGAGACGGAUUCUCACCCUGUUGCCCAGGCUGGAGUGCAGUGGCGCAAUCUCGGCUCACCACAACUUCCGCCUCCCGGGUUCAAGCGAUUCUCCUGCUUUAGCCUCCCAAGUAGCUGGGAUUACAGGCGCCCACCACAACGUCCGGCUAAUUUUUGUAUUUUGUUUUUAGUAGAGACAAGGUUUCACCAUGUUGGCCAGGGUGGUCUCAAACUCCUGACCUCAGGUGAUCCACCCACCUCGGCCUCCCAAAGUGCUGGGAUUAAAGGCGUGAGCCACUGCACCCGGCCGGGGUGUCUUUUUAAAUAAGACACGAAUGACAAGAAACUGGCCAAGAAAAGAUUUGGGAAAGGCAGUCUAUGUAAAGCAGUGUUUUUCAAGCUAAGGCCCUGACCUACUGCAGUGGACACACGAAAUCCAUUUAGUGAGCUGGGACCACAAUUGAAGAAACUAUUAGGAUACAUCACAUGAAGGAAAACUUUUGUUUCAGUUAUACAUAUAUUUAUACACAUGUGACCUGUGUAUAUUCUCAUACAUAUGUAUGCAUGCAUGCCUAAAUGAGUCACAAUGUGAAGUGUAUUUCUUACUACAGUGAGGUCAAAAAAUGUUUGAAAGCCACUGAGAUAGAAGGACCAGCCACUUUGAACGCCUUAGAGGCAAAAAGAGCUUUGUGAGUUGUAAGAGGAAAAAGAAGACCAGCAUGGCUGAAGCGAGCCCUGGGGAGGAGUGUUAUGAAAGAAGGUAGGAAAUGUAUAUAAUUUUUCCCACAUAGAACCCUCCAGUCAAACAUCUUAAAUCUGGACUGCCACCUGUUUUUGUCAUGGUUCAUCAUUUAAGAGAUGACAUGUAAGAAUCAUCUCCCUGCUUUUAUGUCACUUUGUAAACUGUCACUGAGAAGUUAGUAGUUAUACUGACGUGAUUGAAAAUAACCUCUAAACUAAGAAUGUAUCUUAUAUUGAGAACGGAUUGUUCGUAUAAUUAAAAAAUGAACAAGAAAACCAGGCUCAUAGAACUUUGGCGGAGUCCUCUGGUUCAUUUCAGGCCCUUCUUACGAGGCAAAAAUUUCAUGUUAGUUGGUAAUUAAUUUUGCAAAUCUCUUGGCUAUAAAUACAAAAGGAAAUCGUAUAAAAGAAACCACUUAGGUCAAAUGUAGAGGAAAAAAAUGCUGGGACUGUAGAUGUGGCUCUUCCAUUAACUCCCUAAGUGGCCCUCACGACUUAUUCCACUGGUUUGUGCCCUGGAAAUCCUUACAUGUAAAAAAAAAAAGGAGGUGGAGCAGGUGUUCAGUAAGGUCCCUUCAUACUGUAAAAUUCUAUGAUCUUAAGUUAUUUACGAUCAUUUACUAUUUUAAACGUUGCGAAAAUUAACCUGGUAUUUUACCAGACCUUUGUAAAAAGAGGAAGUUACAUGACAUACAAUGAAGAUAACGUCCUUAACUUUACGGUAGAUGACAGUGGUUGAACAACUAGAAGAGAAAGUCAAAGUUAUCUCGGGGAGUUUAUAUUGUACUUAGAUUGAGCUGCACUUUGGAACCGUGUGGCCUUUUCACAUGAGAUCAGUGUCUUGAUAAAUACAAACUUCCUGAAAAGAUGGGUUAAACCUCAAAGCCUGUGUAACUACAGCUUGACAAAGACUCUCGAGGAAAGGUAAACGGAAAGUGAGUUGGCAACACAACUCACCUACAAGUUCUCCAAUCAUGAAAAGCAAGUACAGAACGGCAGCAAUGGUCAACCUGGCUUUCACCUUUCUCUGCUUCAGUAUCUCUCUCUGUUUGCUGCAGUUGUCACAGGAGUCCACCUUCAAACUCAGCUGACUGUUGGUCAAAGGUAAGUCUUGGUCCAGUAAGGAAUCAUCGUCGGCCUGGAGGGUCGGGUGCGCCCCGUUAACAGGCCUUUCCG
This 4225-nucleotide long non-coding RNA is filed under the name Homo sapiens (human). RNAcentral describes it as "HSALNT0381097". The record is from RNAcentral. Lineage: Eukaryota; Metazoa; Chordata; Mammalia; Primates; Hominidae.